RNAcentral lists this ribosomal RNA (446 nucleotides) under uncultured bacterium. Its description in RNAcentral is "SSU rRNA". It matches the Rfam family "Bacterial small subunit ribosomal RNA", at positions 26 to 518 of the family's 1533-position model. The record is from RNAcentral.
AGAGCGAACGCUGGCGGCAGGCUUAACACAUGCAAGUCGAGCGGAUGUAGCAAUACAUCAGCGGCAGACGGGUGAGUAACACGUGGGAACGUACCUUUUGGUUCGGAACAACACAGGGAAACUUGUGCUAAUACCGGAUAAGCCCUUACGGGGAAAGAUUUAUCGCCGAAAGAUCGGCCCGCGUCUGAUUAGCUAGUUGGUGAGGUAAUGGCUCACCAAGGCGAUGAUCCGUAGCUGGUCUGAGAGGAUGAUCAGCCACACUGGGACUGAGACACGGCCCAGACUCCUACGGGAGGCAGCAGUGGGGAAUAUUGGACAAUGGGCGCAAGCCUGAUCCAGCAAUGCCGCGUGAGUGAUGACGGCCUUAGGGUUGUAAAGCUCUUUCGGCGGGGACGAUGAUGACGGUACCGCAGAAGAAGCCCGGCUAACUUCGUGCCAGCAGCCGC